Molecule: long non-coding RNA, 2685 nt
Filed under: Heterocephalus glaber (naked mole-rat)
Lineage: Eukaryota; Metazoa; Chordata; Mammalia; Rodentia; Bathyergidae
Description: lncRNA (ENSHGLG00100038260.1)
Source: RNAcentral
GGUGCAGUUGGGCUUCUCAGAGAGGUUAGGCUUGGUCUGGGGAGGAGGAGGAGGAGGAGGAGGAGGAGGCUCUCUGAAGACCGGCGGCCCCUUGAGGUUCCCAGCCUCCAGAAUGGUCAGAAACAAACUAGUUCGCUCUUCCACGUAUGAGAAAUACUAGUACAGUGGACCCUCAAGUUACAACUGGCCUGACAUUCAAACAACUUGGGUUAAUUAGUAAUUUUGGAUCUUUCGUCUAGGCCUUUGAUCCAUUUUGUGGAUAUUUGCACCAGGAAGAGAGACUAGGAAGAAAUAUAUGCCCUUAAGGAAUUCUGAAUUCAUGAUUACCCUAAAUCCAAGAAAGUUCAUAUUUGGAAUGCUUUAUGGAAAAGAACAAAAUGUAGAAGCAAAUCAUCCUGUCUCCACAGCUAAAAAUGCUUUUUACUGUUGUACUAUGAGUCAUAUAUUCUUCAUAUAAGAAGUGUUAUAUCAAGUAUUGAAUUUGAUACAGAUAUGGAGACUGACAUACAGAAUAUAUUAUAAUUACAACAUAAAUAACCACCAAGAAAUUCUAAAUAUUUUUCCAAUGACUUUCACAAGUAUCAUCUCUCUUACAAAGAAGUCUCAUUAUUAUCUUUUACUGAGAAGACUUUAGAGAAGGUUAAAGACUGCGGAGAUCUACUCAUUUAUUAGGUGUAAAAUGUUGGCUUGUUAGAAAAACAAAAUGUUCAUCUAGGUGCUGUCAGGACACAGAAGGAAAAUUGAUCUCACUGAGAUCUUUCUUGUAUAAAUUCUAAAUAACUUACUCAAGAACAUGGCUUAAGCUAAAAGAUAUUACCAGUCAGGUUUUGGUAUAGCAUUGUAUGUACCGGGCCUGACAACCCAUCUGUCUGUUCCUUACCCCACUAAAAUUCUAUGCACCUCUCAAACAUAAAGAUUAGUAAGGAAAAUGGCACAAGCAGAGCUAAAUUUUAAAAGCUUAUUUUUCCCCUCUUUCCUUUCUCUCCCUUAUUUUUUUUUCAAAGUGCAUUAGUGAUUUAUAACCAGCUGAAAAAUUAGCAGGCAGACAGGACAAGCUAUCUUCUUUUUCGUAGGUCAGCCAGGCUGGACCGCAGUGAGAGCCCCUGGACAAUGCAGGCAGAUGGCCGACAUAAGCACUGGUGCCAUCUGACCUUCCUGGGCCAACAGUGCCACGCAUCUCCUCAGGCCUGCAUGCGAGCCCAGCUCAUGGUGAGUGGCACUGUUGCAGGACUCAAUGAGCCAAAGGACACUAACAGUACCCUGGGGACCCCCGAUAGCACACUUUGUUCAACUCAUGAACAACAGGCUCACCACAGCAUAAUAUGAAAACCAGAUUUCCUUUACAAACCAUCUGAGUGGAGCUACUGAUGCUCUCCAGGAUUUGUUACCCAGAAGUAAGAAACUCAAAGCUUUGAGCAAAACAAGGAGGCAGCUGAGUCAUUUUAUAUCAAGGAUUCCAGACACCAUUGCGUAUGUCUCAAGGUGUUUUCACAUGUUACUUCCCAGACAUGUCAAAAGGUUUGGGCAAGUCCUGCAGACUCAGACGAUCUCUCCAUUUCACAAUGAAGAAUCAGGUCCCAAGAGUUGAGGGAAAUGCUCAGGGUCCCAGGAACUGGAUAAAAUACAAGUUCUCAUGAUUCAAAGAUUCCUCCACUUUACACAUUCAUAUUUAUGCCAUAUUUUACAUUUUUAUUAAAUGCAUUAUAAAUAUUAAUGGUGAUCUGUAGGAUAUUUCCGUAUAUGCAUACAGGGUGCACAGAUAAAUCCAAACCACCUUUUUCCACUCCCUUCCCAAGCCUCCUGAACACUUUCCAAUGCCUAGGAAUCACUAUUCUAUUUUCAGGUAGAUUGUUUUUAGCUUCCACUUAUGAGAACAUGUGAUAUUUGUCUUUCAGUGCCUAGCUUGUUUCGUUAAAGAUAGUUUUCCGUUUCCAUCCAUUUUGCUGCAAAUGGCAUUUUACUUUAGAGUAGAACACGCCACUGUGUAUAUAUACCACGUUUUCUUUAUCCAUUUGUCUUUUGAUAGCCUUCUAAAUUCAUUCCAUGUGUUGGCUAUUGUUAAUGGUUCCACAAUAAAUGGGCAUAGAGCAUCACUUUGGUACAUUGACUUCAUCUCCUUGUGCUAUAUAAUUGCAAGCAGGAUUGUUACAUCACAUGGUAGUUCUAGCUUUAGUUUUUUGCAGAACCUCCAUACUGUUCUCCAUAAUGGCUAUAUUGAGACACAUCCCUAUCCAAGUGUAAAGAGCUCCUUUUUCUCUGAAUCUUUGCCAGCAUUUGUUAUGUGUUAGCUUUUCAAUAAUGGCCAUUGUAACUAGGGUGACAUAUGGUAUCUUCUUGUAGUCUUGAUUUGCAUUUCCCUGACAGUUGAUAAUAUGGUUUAGACCUCAAAUCUCCCCAAAGGCCAUGUUUUGAAAGCUUGGUCCCCAGUUGAUGGCACUAUUGGGAGGUGGAGGAAACUUCAGGAAGUGGGGACUAGUUGCAGGAAGUAGGUCAUCAGGCCACACCCUUGAAGGCUAUAGGAGAUACUGACUCCUCCCCAUUCUCUUUCUCUCCUUCUCCAAGCCCCUCCUUCCUAGCUGCCCUGAGGUAUGCAGGGCGUCUUUGCUCCACCAGGCAUGCUCCACCAUUAUGCUGGCUUUGCCUUAGGCCCAGAUCAAUGGGGCCAUGUGACUAGACACUGAAACC